CUUGACCGAACCGAGCCACAGCGGCCGCGUACGGUCCUGCCCGUACGUGGCCAGCAGGGCCUGCGCCUC
Molecule: antisense RNA, 69 nt
Filed under: Streptomyces caeruleatus
Lineage: Bacteria; Bacillati; Actinomycetota; Actinomycetes; Kitasatosporales; Streptomycetaceae
Description: Streptomyces sp. GIMN4.002 ASpks TB sRNA
Rfam family: ASpks TB sRNA
Source: Rfam by way of RNAcentral